Molecule: transfer RNA, 68 nt
Filed under: Anolis fuscoauratus
Lineage: Eukaryota; Metazoa; Chordata; Lepidosauria; Squamata; Anolidae
Description: tRNA-Trp
Source: RNAcentral
AAAAACUUAGGUUAAUUAAACCAAGAGCCUUCAAAGCCCUAAAUAAGAACAUACCUUCUUAGUUUUUG